CCUACGGGAGGCAGCAGUGGGGAAUUUUGGACAAUGGGCGCAAGCCUGAUCCAGCCAUGCCGCGUGUGGGAAGAAGGCCUUCGGGUUGUAAACCACUUUUGUCAGGGAAGAAACGGUCUGAACUAAUACUUUGGACUAAUGACGGUACCUGAAGAAUAAGCACCGGCUAACUACGUGCCAGCAGCCGCGGUAAUACGUAGGGUGCAAGCGUUAAUCGGAAUUACUGGGCGUAAAGCGUGCGCAGGCGGCUUUGCAAGACAGAUGUGAAAUCCCCGGGCUCAACCUGGGAACUGCAUUUGUGACUGCAUGGCUAGAGUACGGUAGAGGGGGAUGGAAUUCCGCGUGUAGCAGUGAAAUGCGUAGAUAUGCGGAGGAACACCGAUGGCGAAGGCAAUCCCCUGGACCUGUACUGACGCUCAUGCACGAAAGCGUGGGGAGCAAACAGGAUUAGAUACCCUGGUAGUCCACGCCCUAAACGAUGUCAACUGGUUGUUGGGAGGGUUUCUUCUCAGUAACGAAGCUAACGCGUGAAGUUGACCGCCUGGGGAGUACGGCCGCAAGGUUGAAACUCAAAUUGAAUUGACCGGNUGAGAGNGCGAGACGACGACGAGGAGGAGG
This 618-nucleotide ribosomal RNA is filed under the name uncultured bacterium. RNAcentral describes it as "bacterial SSU rRNA". It matches the Rfam family "Bacterial small subunit ribosomal RNA", at positions 338 to 947 of the family's 1533-position model. The record is from RNAcentral.